CCUACGGGGGGCAGCAGUGGGGAAUAUUGGACAAUGGGGGGAACCCUGAUCCAGCCAUGCCGCGUGUGUGAAGAAGGCCCUCGGGUUGUAAAGCACUUUCAGUGAGGAAGAACGCCUGGUGGUUAAUACCCAUCAGGAAAGACAUCACUCACAGAAGAAGCACCGGCUAACUCCGUGCCAGCAGCCGCGGUAAUACGGAGGGUGCGAGCGUUAAUCGGAAUUACUGGGCGUAAAGCGCGCGUAGGUGGCUUGAUAAGCCGGUUGUGAAAGCCCCGGGCUCAACCUGGGAACGGCAUCCGGAACUGUCAAGCUAGAGUGCAGGAGAGGAAGGUAGAAUUCCCGGUGUAGCGGUGAAAUGCGUAGAGAUCGGGAGGAAGACCAGUGGCGAAGGCGGCCUUCUGGACUGACACUGACACUGAGGUGCGAAAGCGUGGGAAGCAAACAGGAUUAGAUACCCGGGUAGUC
RNAcentral lists this ribosomal RNA (465 nucleotides) under Vreelandella stevensii. RNAcentral's name for it is "partial 16S ribosomal RNA". It matches the Rfam family "Bacterial small subunit ribosomal RNA", at positions 338 to 795 of the family's 1533-position model. Lineage: Bacteria; Pseudomonadati; Pseudomonadota; Gammaproteobacteria; Oceanospirillales; Halomonadaceae. The record is from RNAcentral.